This 459-nucleotide ribosomal RNA is filed under the name uncultured bacterium. RNAcentral describes it as "partial 16S ribosomal RNA". It matches the Rfam family "Bacterial small subunit ribosomal RNA", at positions 339 to 795 of the family's 1533-position model. The record is from RNAcentral.
CUACGGGACGCAGCAGUAAGGAAUAUUGCGCAAUGGAGGCAACUCUGACGCAGCCAUGCCGCGUGCAGGAAGAAGGCCUUAUGGGUCGUAAACUGCUUUUAUUUAGGAAUAAACCCCCGAACGUGUUCGGGGCUGAAGGUACUAAACGAAUAAGCACCGGCUAACUCCGUGCCAGCAGCCGCGGUAAUACGGAGGGUGCAAGCGUUAUCCGGAUUUAUUGGGUUUAAAGGGUGCGCAGGCGGGCUAUUAAGUCAGUGGUGAAAUCCCGGGGCUCAACUCCGGAACUGCCAUUGAUACUGAUAGUCUUGAGUUUGGUUGAAGUGGGCGGAAUGUAGCAUGUAGCGGUGAAAUGCAUAGAUAUGCUACAGAACACCAAUCGCGAAGGCAGCUCACUAAGCCAAAACUGACGCUCAUGCACGAAAGCGUGGGGAUCAAACAGGAUUAGAUACCCGCGUAGUC